AGAGUUUGAUCAUGGCUCAGGAUGAACGCUAGCUACAGGCUUAACACACGCAAGUCGAGGGGUAGCAGGGUAGCAAUACCGCUGACGACCGGCGCACGGGUGAGUAACACGUAUCCAACCUUCCCAUAACUCAGGGAUAGCCUUUCGAAAGAAAGAUUAAUACCUGAUAGUACUUUUUCAAGGCAUCUUGAGAAAGUUAAAGAUUUAUUGGUUAUGGAUGGGGAUGCGUUCCAUUAGAUAGUUGGUGAGGUAACGGCUCACCAAGUCUUCGAUGGAUAGGGGUUCUGAGAGGAAGGUCCCCCACAUUGGUACUGAGACACGGACCAAACUCCUACGGGAGGCAGCAGUGAGGAAUAUUGGUCAAUGGGCGAGAGCCUGAACCAGCCAAGUAGCGUGAAGGAUGAAGGUCCUAUGGAUUGUAAACUUCUUUUAUAGUAGAAUAAAGUGAUCCACGUGUGGAUUUUUGUAUGUAUACUAUGAAUAAGGAUCGGCUAACUCCGUGCCAGCCGCAGC
This 513-nucleotide ribosomal RNA is filed under the name uncultured bacterium. Its description in RNAcentral is "bacterial SSU rRNA". It matches the Rfam family "Bacterial small subunit ribosomal RNA", at positions 8 to 518 of the family's 1533-position model. The record is from RNAcentral.